RNAcentral lists this ribosomal RNA (474 nucleotides) under uncultured bacterium. RNAcentral's name for it is "bacterial SSU rRNA". It matches the Rfam family "Bacterial small subunit ribosomal RNA", at positions 30 to 493 of the family's 1533-position model. The record is from RNAcentral.
AUUGAACGCUGGCGGCAGGCCUAACACAUGCAAGUCGAACGGUAGCACAGAGAGCUUGCUCUCGGGUGACGAGUGGCGGACGGGUGAGUAAUGUCUGGGAAACUGCCUGAUGGAGGGGGAUAACUACUGGAAACGGUAGCUAAUACCGCAUAACGUCGCAAGACCAAAGAGGGGGACCUUCGGGCCUCUUGCCAUCAGAUGUGCCCAGAUGGGAUUAGCUAGUAGGUGGGGUAACGGCUCACCUAGGCGACGAUCCCUAGCUGGUCUGAGAGGAUGACCAGCCACACUGGAACUGAGACACGGUCCAGACUCCUACGGGAGGCGGCAGUGGGGAAUAUUGCACAAUGGGCGCAAGCCUGAUGCAGCCAUGCCGCGUGUAUGAAGAAGGCCUUCGGGUUGUAAAGUACUUUCAGCGGGGAGGAAGGUGUUGUGGUUAAUAACCGCAGCAAUUGACGUUACCCGCAGAAGAAGCAC